This 510-nucleotide ribosomal RNA is filed under the name Triticum aestivum (bread wheat). RNAcentral's name for it is "partial small subunit ribosomal RNA". The record is from RNAcentral. Lineage: Eukaryota; Viridiplantae; Streptophyta; Magnoliopsida; Poales; Poaceae.
AUGAUGAACUUUGUGUGUGCCCAGAUCAAGAAAGCAGCUGAUGAGAUCGAGACUAUUCUGGAAACAACCCCGGCUGGCAAAAGCGAUAGGGAAGGUGCACUUCGAGCAUUCAUUAAGCGCCAGGGCCAAAAGUUAAGGUGGCUAUCAAACCUUUUCGGUUGUCGUGACCCCGAGUAUGUAUCACCAGAACGGUCUAGGUCGGCGACACCAUCAGAUCCCACUUCGGGCCAGGGCCAUGGUGAUCCUUUGGAGGAUGAGGAUGUGGGUGUGGUCACCCAAGAGGUUGCUGAUGAUAUGACCUUGGGGACCUACCAAUUUCGGUCUGCAUACGAGUUAAAGCCUAGGAAGGGAAUCAACAAAUACACUCCUGAAGACUUCACCCAAAGAGGCAAAAGGACAGUCGGCACCUCGCGGAUGGCGCUUUGGAUGACUAUGUGGCUGACGAUGUGGAUGACGUGGAGGAACCGGAGCCGGAGCGGGUUGCUCUUCCUAGGAAGGCGAAGAAGAUAG